RNAcentral lists this ribosomal RNA (465 nucleotides) under Vreelandella stevensii. RNAcentral's name for it is "partial 16S ribosomal RNA". It matches the Rfam family "Bacterial small subunit ribosomal RNA", at positions 338 to 795 of the family's 1533-position model. The record is from RNAcentral. Lineage: Bacteria; Pseudomonadati; Pseudomonadota; Gammaproteobacteria; Oceanospirillales; Halomonadaceae.
CCUACGGGAGGCAGCAGUGGGGAAUAUUGGACAAUGGGGGGAACCCUGAUCCAGCCAUGCCGCGUGUGUGAAGAAGGCCCUCGGGUUGGAAAGCACUUUCAGUGAGGAAGAACGCCUGGUGGUGAAUACCCAUCAGGAAAGACAUCACUCACAGAAGAAGCACCGGCUAACUCCGUGCCAGCAGCCGCGGUAAUACGGAGGGUGCGAGCGUUAAUCGGAAUUACUGGGCGUAAAGCGCGCGUAGGUGGCUUGAUAAGCCGGUUGUGAAAGCCCCGGGCUCAACCUGGGAACGGCAUCCGGAACUGUCAAGCUAGAGUGCAGGAGAGGAAGGUAAAAUACCAGGUGGAGCGGUGAAAUGCGUAGAGAUCGGGAGGAAUACCAGUGGCGAAGGCGGCCUUCUGGACUGACACUGACACUGAGGUGCGAAAGCGUGGGUAGCAAACCGGAUUAGAUACCCGUGUAGUC